RNAcentral lists this ribosomal RNA (451 nucleotides) under Streptomyces violaceoruber. RNAcentral describes it as "bacterial SSU rRNA". It matches the Rfam family "Bacterial small subunit ribosomal RNA", at positions 28 to 485 of the family's 1533-position model. Lineage: Bacteria; Bacillati; Actinomycetota; Actinomycetes; Kitasatosporales; Streptomycetaceae. The record is from RNAcentral.
GACCUGCUCAGACGAACGCUGGCGGCGUGCUUAACACAUGCAAGUCGAACGAUGAACCACUUCGGUGGGGAUUAGUGGCGAACGGGUGAGUAACACGUGGGCAAUCUGCCCUGCACUCUGGGACAAGCCCUGGAAACGGGGUCUAAUACCGGAUACUGAUCAUCUUGGGCAUCCUUGGUGAUCGAAAGCUCCGGCGGUGCAGGAUGAGCCCGCGGCCUAUCAGCUUGUUGGUGAGGUAAUGGCUCACCAAGGCGACGACGGGUAGCCGGCCUGAGAGGGCGACCGGCCACACUGGGACUGAGACACGGCCCAGACUCCUNACGGGAGGCAGCAGUGGGGAAUAUUGCACAAUGGGCGAAAGCCUGAUGCAGCGACGCCGCGUGAGGGAUGACGGCCUUCGGGUUGUAACCUCUUUCAGCAGGGAAGAAGCGAAAGUGACGGUACCUGCAGA